GCUAGGGUUCAAAUCCCAGGUCUUUCAACAUCAACUGGCUGUGAAACAUGGGCAAGUUCCAACUAUGGGAGCCCACGCCCCGCCCAUGCCAACAUGAAUGCCAAUGCGGCAGCGGGGCUGGCCCCUGAGCACAUCCCCACCCCGGGGGCUGCCCUGUCGUGGCAGGCGGCCAUCGACGCAGCCCGGCAGGCUAAGCUGAUGGGCAGCGCUGGCAAUGCGACCAUCUCCACAGUCAGCUCCACGCAGCGGAAGCGGCAGCAAUAUGGGAAACCCAAGAAGCAGGGCAGCACCACGGCCACACGCCCGCCCCGAGCCCUGCUCUGCCUGACCCUGAAGAACCCCAUCCGGAGGGCCUGCAUCAGCAUUGUCGAAUGGAAACCAUUUGAAAUAAUUAUUUUACUGACUAUUUUUGCCAAUUGUGUGGCCUUAGCGAUCUAUAUUCCCUUUCCAGAAGAUGAUUCCAACGCCACCAAUUCCAACCUGCUCCAGUUCUGCCCUGAAGGCUUGUCCAUGCCUGUGGAUCACCAUCCUCUGCCUCCUGCCUCCUCCUGCUUCCCCGGCUGGUGUCUGCCUCGUAUCAUCAGUCACCUCCUCCCAAGCAGCCUAUUGCUUUCUCUACUGAUGCCUUGAGCCGGAAGCCAGACAGCAGAUAUUCCAAAACUGAAAACCUGUGGAUUUGCCUGUAAAUUUGCUAUAAUUUCUUAAGAACACAAGAAAGGCUGAACUUCCUGGAAGUUAUUCCUAGGGCCAGCAUCAUGGGAGUUUGACGGUUGGCUGUGUAGAGCAGUCACUCCAAGGCAGUUGAUUUGCUUUGUUGUUCUUCUCACCCCAUCAGUAUUAUAAUGUGGAGCUUCCUCUGCAUUGUGCCGUGAGAUGACAGCAAAAGGGCUGUGGCCACUGCCUGGGACUUGAUCCUUCGCUGAAACAGGGACACUUUCUAUGACUAGUGCUACGUUACAUUUAUCCGUUCUAUUGGACACAUGUUCGUAGGCCCAGGAUCAGAAUAAAAUAGCUCCACAGCUAGAAGAAAUCAGUUUAUAGGCAAACAAGACUCUGAUGUUGGCCCUUAAAAAGAAACUGCUCAUAUUACAUAUUACAGUUUAAUUUUGUCCGCGUUAGAAGGUCCCAGUGAUAUCUUUGCUUCUUGACUGUAGUCUAGUGUUUAAAGGUUAUUUGCCCAGGUGACUUUUUUAUCUUUUCCAAUCUAAAUACAGUUGUCCCUUGGUAUCCACAGGUGAUUGGUUCCAGGACUCCCCAACCCCUUGGAUACCAAAAUCCUUAGGUACUCAAGUCCCUUGCAUAAAAUGCAUAGUGUUUUCAUAUAACCUAUGCACAUCCUCUUGUGUACCUUAAAUCAUCUCCAGGUUACUUAUACUACCUAAUACGGUGUAAGUGCUAUAUAAAUAGUUCUUAUGAUGUACUGUUUUCAUUUACUGGUAUGAUUUUUAUUGUCAUAUUAUUUUUAUUAAAAAUUUUCUUUUCAAA
This 1485-nucleotide unclassified non-coding RNA is filed under the name Homo sapiens (human). RNAcentral describes it as "calcium voltage-gated channel subunit alpha1 C (ENSG00000285479.3)". Lineage: Eukaryota; Metazoa; Chordata; Mammalia; Primates; Hominidae. The record is from RNAcentral.